This 467-nucleotide ribosomal RNA is filed under the name Candidatus Phytoplasma pyri. RNAcentral's name for it is "bacterial SSU rRNA". It matches the Rfam family "Bacterial small subunit ribosomal RNA", at positions 153 to 623 of the family's 1533-position model. The record is from RNAcentral. Lineage: Bacteria; Bacillati; Mycoplasmatota; Mollicutes; Acholeplasmatales; Acholeplasmataceae.
GAAACGACUGCUAAGACUGGAUAGGAAGUUUUAAGGCAUCUUGAAACUUUUAAAAGACCCGCAAGGGUAUGCUGAGAGAUGGGCUUGCGGCACAUUAGUUAGUUGGUAAGGUAACGGCUUACCAAGACCAUGAUGUGUAGCUGGACUGAGAGGUUGAACGGCCACAUUGGGACUGAGAUACGGAAACUCCUACGGGAGGCAGCAGUAAGGAAUUUUCGGCAAUGGAGGAAACUCUGACCGAGCAACGCCGCGUGAAGAUGAAGUAUUUAGUAUGUAAAGUUCUUUUAUUAAGAAAAAAUGAUGGAAAAAUCAUUCUGACGGUAUUUAAUGAAAGCCCCGGCUAACUAUGUGCCAGCAGCUGCGGUAAUACAUGGGGGGCAAGCGUUAUCCGGAUUUAUUGGGCGUAAAGGGUGCGUAGGCGGUUUAAUAAGUCUAUGGUCUAAGUUCAACGCUUAACGUUGUGAGCU